AGGUGGGCAGCAGGGCCCUUCCUUUCCCCACAGGCAGGGAACACUUGUGUUUCCUUUGUUUACUUCUUUAGCUUAUGUCUUCCGCGAUGAAACGGUAACUUCCUGAACGCUCUGCAGUUCAUCGCUACACUCUUCCUCCAUAUCUAGAACGUGGCCUGGCACAUAUUAGAUGCUCAAUCAUCAUUUUAAAAUAAACGAGUAGUGAUCCAUUCAAGUAACGUGGAUAAACAUCAACAACAACAGCUGCUUUCAGGAAAAAAGGGCAGACUCUGAAUUAUGAAGAAUGUGAGAAACUUAGAUCAGUAUCAUGAAGAUUGUGUACUUUUACUUUUUAGGGCAGCUUUAUUGAGGGACAAAUCACCCAUUUUAUUUUUUAGUUUUACUGAGGUAUGAUUGAUAUAAAAAAUGGCACACAUUUAAGGUAUACAUCAUCAUGAGUUAAGACAUAUGCAUGCGCCCAUGAUGCCAUCGCCAUAACCAAAGGUUAAAUAUAUCCAUUAAAUAUAUCCAUAUCUCCAGAAAUUGCCUUGUGCUAUUUUGUAAAUCAUCCAUUUAAAAUUUAUAAUUCAGGCUGGGUGCAGUGGCUUACACCUGUAAUCUCUCCACUGAGUUCGAGGCAGGAGGGUCACUUGAGCCCAGGAGUUUGAGACCAGCUUGCACAACAUGAUAAGACUGUCUCUACAAAAAAUUUAAAAAUUAGCCAGGCAUGGUGGCGCACACCUGCAGUCUCAGCUAUUCAGGAAGCUGAGGUGGGAGGAUAGCUUGAGCCAGGGAGGUCAAGGCUGCAGUGAGCCCUGAUCAUAACACUGCUGUCCAGCCUGGGUGAUAGAGGGAAACCCCCAUCUCAAAAAAAAAAAAAGUGCUAAUUUCUACUAGACUUCUCGUUAGUUACUGUAUCAGAAGACAUGUAAAAAUUAUAGGGCAGAUCAUGAGUGUUGAAACUUUGAAUAAUUGUAUUUCCCCAAGUGUUUAUUUUUGCAAUCUCUUGUUAUAAUUUGCACCACUUCCUUCCCCCAGAUUAUGUUUGUGCUUGUUUGUACUGGAGAGCAUGGAAGAGCUCACAGGAGAAAUUGUGCCUCCUUCGCCAUCCAGGGGAUGUUGUAUAGGAAUCAAGAGCUUGGUAGACAGAAGUCUUAGAGGCGGAGCUGCCUAGAUUCAAAUUCUGACUCUACCACUUCCUAGCUGUGGCAAGUGACUAAACCUCCUACCUAAGAGUCACGCGGGCUGGAGUACAGUGUCAUGAUCACAGCUCACUGCAGCCUCAACCUCCCAGGCUCAAGCAAUCUUCCCACCUCAGCCUCUCAAGUAGCUGGGACCACAGUUCUGUGCAUUCUGUGGCAAGACAACAAAUAGAUGGGAUGAUUUCUGUGGAAGUCUACAGGUGACAUUUAAUCAUGGCUACAGUAUUUCAUGUGAGCACAAAGAACAAGCCAAGACUCAUUUGGGGAAAAAAUUAAUCAUUCAUCUAAUAAAUGUCUUUUGAAUGCCUGUCAUAACCAGGAACAGAGCCAGGUACGUGAUGAACAAAUAGGCUGGUCCCUGCCCUGAUGAAAGUUAUAGGCUAGUGUGGUCACAGACUAUGAACGAAUAAACAAAUACAUAUAGACAAGUCAUCAUCCCUCAUCAAUUAUUUUGAUAUCACAAAGACUCUGAAAAGUAUUUUUUUAACCCCUUUAGCAGUAAAACCUAAUUUGUAUUAAAAUAAAGCAUUAUUUAUUUGUCUAUCCAAAAAAAAAAAAAAA
Molecule: long non-coding RNA, 1742 nt
Filed under: Homo sapiens (human)
Lineage: Eukaryota; Metazoa; Chordata; Mammalia; Primates; Hominidae
Description: long independently transcribed non-coding RNA 1653 (LINC01653)
Source: RNAcentral